AGAGUUUGAUCCUGGCUCAGAAUCAACGCUGGCGGCGUGCUUAACACAUGCAAGUCGAGCGGAAAGGCCCUUCGGGGUACUCGAGCGGCGAACGGGUGAGUAACACGUGAGUAACCUGCCCCUGACUCUGGGAUAAGCCUGGGAAACUGGGUCUAAUACCGGAUAUGACGCACUCUGGCAUCAGAUGUGUGUGGAAAGUUUUUUCGGUUGGGGAUGGGCUCGCGGCCUAUCAGCUUGUUGGUGGGGUAGUGGCCUACCAAGGCGACGACGGGUAGCCGGCCUGAGAGGGCGACCGGCCACACUGGGACUGAGACACGGCCCAGACUCCUACGGGAGGCAGCAGUGGGGAAUAUUGCGCAAUGGGCGGAAGCCUGACGCAGCGACGCCGCGUGGGGGAUGACGGCCUUCGGGUUGUAAACCUCUUUCAGCAGGGACGAAGUUGACGUGUACCUGUAGAAGAAGCGCCGGCUAACUACGUGCCAGCAGCCGCGGUAAUACGUAGGGCGCAAGCGUUGUCCGGAAUUAUUGGGCGUAAAGAGCUCGUAGGUGGCUUGUUGCGUCUGCCGUGAAAUCCCGUGGCUUAACUGCGGGUCUGCGGUGGAUACGGGCAGGCUAGAGGCUGGUAGGGGCAAGCGGAAUUCCUGGUGUAGCGGUGAAAUGCGCAGAUAUCGGAGGAACACCGGUGGCGAAGGCGGCUUGCUGGGCCAGUUCUGACGCUGAGGAGCGAAAGCGUGGGGAGCGAACAGGAUUAGAUACCCUAGUAGUCC
RNAcentral lists this ribosomal RNA (767 nucleotides) under uncultured bacterium. RNAcentral's name for it is "bacterial SSU rRNA". It matches the Rfam family "Bacterial small subunit ribosomal RNA", at positions 8 to 796 of the family's 1533-position model. The record is from RNAcentral.